AAGGCAUAGGUAAUUUAUACAAAUGAAAUUAGCUCAAAUCAAAAAUUGCAUUUUAAGUAGAAAUUCAAACCCAAGCCUGCCUUGGAAAAAACUAAGCUAUUAAUUUUCAAGCUCAAUCAGGCUUGGACUGAAGAUGCGAGGAUGGGCCUGUUGAGUUAAAAGAGUUAUUCAAAUUUAUGAAUAUUGAAUAGUAAACUUUUGUCAAAACUUAAUUCCAGGUUUUGAGAUUUCCUCAUCGUCUCCAUUCUUCAUGCAGAUUUUUGUGUUUUGGACACUGCAACAAAAAGCCUCUUCCGCAUAUACAGAUACAACAUUGUACCAUUUUACUUGACAAAAACCUUCUCUGAAUCAUUGAUACUUGUACAGAAACCUGUAAAUUUCACUGGGUCAAAUAUUCCUAGAAUUAACCCCAGAUGAACGAAUCAACCAAAAGUAUUCAAGUUCAUUCACUAACAAUUUUCAACUUAAAACAUUCAAAAAAUUGUUGUUCUCAUUAGCUGUUUAUUGUUUCUGCAAUUACUUGAUGACAACCAAAUGGUUUAUUUUAUAUUUAUUCUCCCUUCUGUCUCCUCUGAAAUUCAUAGUGAUUUUUCCUAGCAAAUUUUCCACCGUUCGCCAUUCCAUAAUGUUUCCCUCCUGACCAAGCAACUCCUUGAUCUGAAAUUAUGACUAUUUUACAGCUUCUCUGAACAGUCUUUCACCUUCAUGUCCCUUUAUGGUUUAAACAUUUCAACAUUCAUUUUGUUCCUCCUAGAUAACUACUUUCCUAAUAUGCAACAUGGUCAUCUAGCCUUUUUCCAACUCUUUGGG
RNAcentral lists this long non-coding RNA (810 nucleotides) under Phoenix dactylifera (date palm). RNAcentral's name for it is "long non-coding RNA (PDAC_LNC015251)". The record is from RNAcentral. Lineage: Eukaryota; Viridiplantae; Streptophyta; Magnoliopsida; Arecales; Arecaceae.